Non-coding RNA from Lactuca sativa (garden lettuce), 2237 nucleotides. The record is from RefSeq and is a predicted model, not a curated record. Lineage: Eukaryota; Viridiplantae; Streptophyta; Magnoliopsida; Asterales; Asteraceae.
UCUUAAAUUUAAGUAGUACAAAAUUUGAAGCAUGAAUUACAAAUGUUUUAUGCAUUUUUAUCCCUUAAAUGUCUCAUAUAGAGGAACAACAUCCGUCAAACUUAUCUGCAAAUGAAUCAGUCAAAGCUAAAACUAUAUUCCCACAUUUAUAGUCAGUUGAAUUAGUCAAUAAGAAAUACAAUUUAUAAGGCAUUCUUCUCUCAAUCUCGGUUAUCUUCAUCAAACCUACCGAUUACACCCAAUAAACUCCCAAAUCAUUUCUCAAAGCUAUCAAAUCUCAAUGCUUGCUUCUCCGCUACUCCCACUGUCCCUCCUUCAUUACCACUAUCAACCAUCCACCGGCAUAUGUGUCAUCACCGGAAUCAUACCGUGCCGCCUUCAAACACUUUCCAGCAUGUCUGAUUAUGUAGAGUAUCUGUAAGAAAUUCAAGGUUGUGGGAAUGAGAAUUUUGAAAUCCCUUCUCUCCGCCCCUAUAUCGGCUCCCUUCCCCUAUAUAUCCCCUCAUAUUCUCUGUAAUUGUGAACACGAAAGGUUUUUGGGAUUCUAACCACAUGAUUUCUGGAUAUAAGUUUUCAUCCUCAAAGAAAUUAUUUUGAAAAAAACCCAAGUUUGAUCUUGGGAAAUUGGCUGUGGUAAACGACUUUCUUUUUAUCUUUUUCCUUUUUGUUGGUUUUCUAGGUAUGAUAAAGAGAAGAUAUCGGUCAGUCAUCCACAUUGAUUAUUUAUACUCUUAUGUGGCUGUCAAUCAAGGAAAUUACAUAUAAAGUGUUUGUAGAAAUGCUUGCGAGAGAACAUAACAAGAGGCGAGUAUGAGCUCUACAAAAUCUUUCUAUAUGCUCUUUUUUUUUAAGAAUUUUUUUCCUUAUUGCUUCUAUAGUUCUUAUUAUAUGGUCUUACCAAUUUUAAGACACUACAUAUGUCUCUAGAAACAUUCUUGCUUUAGAGUGUUUUUCAAGCAUGUGAUUUGAACUAGGAACAUAUAAUGAGCUGUAAACUUUUUAUUUAUGGUUUCUUUAAGUUUGUAUCUUACUAUUGAAGCAUUAUUUUGGGUGCAAUAGUCACACUUUACAAACUACAAAAUACAUGAAGGGAAAAUGACUUAAAAGCCCAACGAAGUUUCCAAACCAUUCAAAAAACUCCAAUCUUGUUUUGAUUGUUUGAAAAAACCUAACGAACUUAACAUUUUGUCUAAAAAGUCCAACAAAGUUCCAAACCGUACAAAAAAUCCCAAUUUUGUUUUGUUUAAGUUCGUUGGGUUUUUUUUGAACAGUCAAAACAUGAUUGUAUUUUUUUAAACGUUUUGGAAACUUCGUUGGCCUAACAAGUCACUUUUCCAAUACGGUAAUAAGUCACGUCAUCUGUUUCUCUUAUUUGACUUUCAGGAAAGUGUAACUUCGUUGGGCUUUUUAGACAAAAUGUUAAGUUUGUUGGGUUUUUUUGAACAGACAAAACAUGAUUGGGGUUUCUUGAACGGUUUGAAAACUUCAUUGGGCUUUUAAGUCAUUUUCCCAUACAUGAAUUAUUUAGCUUUUCACUUUAGUUUUUUAAAAAGAAAUCAAAAAACUUCUUCAGAUGGAUGCUCUUGAUGAAAUGAGGUAAAUUUUGGUUUAUAUUUUCUUGAUGCACUAUUUUUUUAUAUAGUUUAUAAUCUUGGUCUAACAAAGUUUCAAUUCCCUAGGAUAAUUGACCGAAUGGAGCUCUAGGCAUGGUGACCCAUGUGGAGAGAUCUAGAAAUGAGUUUACCUGUUUAGGUUCAAGAGUCACAAAGAUUUACGUUGCAUUCCUCUUGGAUAUUGGAAUGUUUCAAAUCUUUUAACAUGUUCUUUUUUUGGUUCUUCCAGCAGCUUAUUUUGCCACAGGGUACGAGAUCAUAUGUUGAUCCUUCUUCCUCUGCAGUCAAGCUCCUUCUACUUGAGCUUCUUUUUGCUGAUAGUCUUCUUAGUUUACCUACAUCGAUGAGGAUAGAUCAUAUUGUAUUUUUCUGAAGAUAUGAGUACAUAGAUUAGUUAUACAAAGGGUCGGAAGAGAAUGGUUCGUUUCACAGGUAUGGGAAUGGAAAAACUCCAUGAAUGACCAGAAAGGAAAGCACAUAAGAUCUUGGAACUUUGUUGUGUUUUUUCUUAAUUUGAGAAUUAAUUUGAGGUUAUUCCGUAGGUUUUAAAUUUGUAAAGGAUAGUUUGGUCAUUAUUGCAAAAUACACGAAUUUGGGUCUGUAUAAAUUCAGGAUUAUGUUGAA